Molecule: long non-coding RNA, 1341 nt
Organism: Vulpes vulpes (red fox)
Lineage: Eukaryota; Metazoa; Chordata; Mammalia; Carnivora; Canidae
Source: Ensembl
UUCGUUUCCCAGAGUUAGGAGUCUUUAUGUUCUUUCUUAUAUAUAUUAGAUCUUUGUUCAAGGCUCCUUACUCAAAGCUCCCCAAACCCUUGGCAUUUCCUAAGUGUUGAGAGUGAUCAAGGUAUCUUUUGUUUCGUGAAUGAGGUAAAUUUUGGAAAGCCCCCUAGGUAACCUGAGGAUGGUGCUUCCACCACCCCUAGUUCGUUUCCCAGAGUUAGGAGUCUUUAUGUUCUUUCUUAUAUAUAUUAGAUCUUUGUUCAAGGCUCCUUACUCAAAGCUCCCCAAACCCUUGGCAUUUCCUAAGUGUUGAGAGUGAUCAAGGUAUCUUUUGUUUCGUGAAUGAGGUAAAUUUUGGAAAGCCCCCUAGGUAACCUGAGGAUGGUGGCUGGCUGCCUGGAGAGCCAACGCUGUGGUUAGAGGGUUGGAACCUUCUGUCCCACCAAUGACCCUCCCAGGAAAGAGAGGGGCUAGAUUGAGUGCAAUCACCAUCGCCCGAUGACUUAAUCAAUCAUGCCUGCGUAAUGAAGCCUCCAGAAAAUUCCAAAAGGAUAGGCUUCUAGUUUCUAGAGUUGGUGGACAUUGGUGGUCUGAGCAGAUAGGCUGCCUGGGGUGGGCUUGGCAGCCUUAUCCCCUUCCCCCACACCAUGCCCUGUGCAUCCCUUCCAUGGAGCUCUUCCUGAGUUACAUCCUUUUAAAAUAAAUGGGUGGAUCUAGUGANGGUUUUCCUGGGUUUUGGGAGCACUCCAGCAAAUUAAUUGAACCCAAGGAGGAGGCCAUGGGAACCUCUGAUUUAUAGCCAGUUUGUCAGAAGCACAGGAAACAACCUGGACUUGCAACUGGCAUCUGAAGUGGAGGUGGGGAGAUAUUUCGCAGGACUGAACACUUACCCUAUGGAAUCUGAUGGUGUCAUGGUGGAAUCUGAUGGUGUCACAGUGGGGUUAGCUGGAAUUGCAGAGACUUGCUCGGGGGCCCUGGGGACUCCUGCCUCCACCCCCCAACACAGUGGGAUUGGGUCCAGAACCCUCUUUAAGCGAACAGGUUUCACGGUGCUUCACGGUGCAUAUCUACUACCGAUAAACAGCCCCUCCACUUCCAGGUAGUCUGCGGGACCCGUAGCUUUUAUACUUCUUAAAGUGCCAUCCUGAUGAUACUAUGAUGUGCCACUGCAUCCGCCAGGCCCUCUAUACCAUCUGACCAAGAGAUACUCCUUGGUAUCUCUGAAUCUCAGCUUCCAUGGUGAAAUUGCUUUUGUUGUAAGUGAUUUCAUAUUUAAGAGGAAAAUAAUUCAUUGUAAUAAUCUCCCAAAUCUGUGUGAUUCUGAUAGAACAUCUGGAAAAUGUG